CGGGGUGUAGCGCAGAUGGCAGCGCGCCUGCUUUGGGAGCAGGAUGUCACAGGUUCGAUCCCUGUCACUCCGA
Molecule: transfer RNA, 73 nt
Filed under: Cylindrospermum stagnale PCC 7417
Lineage: Bacteria; Bacillati; Cyanobacteriota; Cyanophyceae; Nostocales; Nostocaceae
Description: tRNA-Pro (TGG) (tRNA-Pro-TGG-2-1)
Rfam family: tRNA
About the family: Transfer RNA (tRNA) molecules are approximately 80 nucleotides in length. Their secondary structure includes four short double-helical elements and three loops (D, anti-codon, and T loops).
Source: Rfam by way of RNAcentral